GACGAACGCUGGCGGCGUGCUUAACACAUGCAAGUCGAACGGAAAGGCCCUGCUUUUGUGGGGUGCUCGAUUGGCGAACGGGUGAGUAACACGUGAGUAACCUGCCCUUGACUUUGGGAUAACUUCAGGAAACUGGGGCUAAUACCGGAUAGGAGCUCCUGCUGCAUGGUGGGGGUUGGAAAGUUUCGGCGGUUGGGGAUGGACUCGCGGCUUAUCAGCUUGUUGGUGGGGUAGUGGCUUACCAAGGCUUUGACGGGUAGCCGGCCUGAGAGGGUGACCGGCCACAUUGGGACUGAGAUACGGCCCAGACUCCUACGGGAGGCAGGAGUGGGGAAUAUUGCACAAUGGGCGGAAGCCUGAUGCAGCAACGCCGCGUGCGGGAUGACGGCCUUCGGGUUGUAAACAGCUUUCGACUGUGACGAAGCGUGAGUGACGGUAAUGGGUAAAGAAGCACCGGCUAACUACGUG
RNAcentral lists this ribosomal RNA (468 nucleotides) under uncultured bacterium. RNAcentral's name for it is "partial 16S ribosomal RNA". It matches the Rfam family "Bacterial small subunit ribosomal RNA", at positions 28 to 507 of the family's 1533-position model. The record is from RNAcentral.